Molecule: ribosomal RNA, 243 nt
Filed under: uncultured bacterium
Lineage: Bacteria
Description: partial 16S ribosomal RNA
Rfam family: Bacterial small subunit ribosomal RNA
Source: RNAcentral
AACGUGGGUAACCUGCCUUAUAGUGGGGGAUAGCCUUUCGAAAGGAAGAUUAAUACCGCAUAAGAUUGUAGUAUCGCAUGAUAUAGCAAUUAAAGGAGCAAUUCGCUGUAAGAUGGACCCGCGUCGCAUUAGCUAGUUGGUGAGGUAAUGGCUCACCAAGGCGACGAUGCGUAGCCGACCUGAGAGGGUGAUCGGCCACAUUGGGACUGAGACACGGCCCAGACUCCUACGGGAGGCAGCAUG